Molecule: non-coding RNA, 366 nt
Organism: Sturnus vulgaris (Common starling)
Lineage: Eukaryota; Metazoa; Chordata; Aves; Passeriformes; Sturnidae
Source: RefSeq, a predicted model, not a curated record
CCAUGACUGACUGCUUUGCAGCACUAGGGCAUGAAGUGCGUUCAGAGGAGCCUGGAAACCCUGCAGACUGUUCAGUGUAAUAAAAAGCUGUUCUUUAUCUCUUGUUUUAAAUACAGUUAAUCCUGUUUAUUCAGCAAACACAUUUAAGAGCAACUUUGAGGGAAAAAAAACAAACAGAAAAUGCUGGAAAUUGCCUUUUUCUAUCUGCAGUGGUGCAGGGCAGCAUCCCGCACUCUUUGCAUAAGCACAAGCCCCACUGACGUCAAUGGGAGUUUUUCCGGGGCGAGGGCUGAGUGCCUUGGCCCGCUGCUAUAAACACGUUGGGACUUUUCUUUUAAUGGAUGGUAUUUAGAUCCUGUGUGGGGC